RNAcentral lists this long non-coding RNA (1716 nucleotides) under Eutrema salsugineum. RNAcentral's name for it is "long non-coding RNA (ESAL_LNC000138)". Lineage: Eukaryota; Viridiplantae; Streptophyta; Magnoliopsida; Brassicales; Brassicaceae. The record is from RNAcentral.
CGAUCACAUUCAUCACACUCACCUGAAAUAUGGAUUUAUAAGAGAGGGGUGAGUAAUUUGGGGAAAUUACUCAGUGAGAACCAAACCAGACUACCUUCCCACUCAUUUAUUUUCCACCAACAUGUCAAGAAUAAAUCCAACAAGCAACACACAAGCAUCCUAGCGAUGCACAAACAACUAGCCAGCAAUGAUGUCUCCAACCCGCCUAUCACACAAGGCCACACCUCCCAGUCACACAGCUUCACAAUAUUUAGUUCCUCUGUAACACCCCGGUCCUGGGUUCCAAAGGAAACCAGACUAAACCGGCAGUAUUAUCUAACCUAACCAAUAAUUCCUGAAUAAUCCUUAAAUCUUAUUCCAAAUCGGGAUCCUCUAGAGUCGACUUCAAUUCGGUUGAGCGCUGAAUAAAUCCGAAAAUAAUCAGAAAACAAUAUCUAAAAAGAAAAUACAAAAAAAAGUUCUUAAAGCGAUAAAAAUCUUCCUCCAUCUCUAAAAGCACACCACACUAGAGCUACUCGUCUAGUUCCUCCCAGACAUCAUCACAAUCACAUUCAUCACACUCACCCGAAAUAUGGAUUUAAAAGAGAGGGGUGAGUAAUUUGGGGAAAUUACUCAGUGAGAACCAAACCAGGCUCCCUUCCCACUCAUUUAUUUUCCACCAACAUGUCAAGAAUAAAUCCAACAAGCAACACACAAGCAUCCUAGCGAUGCACAAACAACUAGCAAGCAAUGAUGUCUCCAACCCGCCUAUCACACAAGGCCACACCUCCCAGUCACACAGCUUCACAAUAUUCAGUCCCUUUGUAACACCCCGGUCCUGGGUUCCAAAGGAAACCAGACUAAACCGGCUGUAUUAUCUAACCUAACCAAUAAUUCCUGAAUAAUCCUUAAAUCUUAUUCCAAAUCAAACCAAAUCCAGUCUUACAAUAGAAAUGAAUAACUUGAAUAAAUCCCAAAAUAAUCAGAAAACAAUAUCUUAAAAGAAAAUACAAAAAAAAGUUCCUAAAGCGAUAAAAAUCUUCCUCCAUCUCUAAAAGCACACCACACUAGAGCUACUCGUCUAGUUCCUCCCAGACAUCAUCACAAUCACAUUCAUCACACUCACCUGAAAGACGGAUUUAAAAGAGAGGGGUGAGUAAUUUGGGGAAAUUACUCAGUGAGAACCAAACCAGGCUCCCUUCCCACUCAUUUAUUUUCCACCAACAUGUCAAGACUAAAUCCAACAAGCAACACACAAGCAUCCUAGCGAUGCACAAACAACUAGCCAGCAAUGAUGUCUCCAACCCGCCUAUCACACAAGGCCACACCUCCCAGUCACACAGCUUCACAAUAUUUAGUUCCUCUGUAACACCCCGGUCCUGGGUUCCAAAGGAAACCAGACUAAACCGGCAGUAUUAUCUAACCUAACCAAUAAUUCCUGAAUAAUCCUUAAAUCUUAUUCGAAAUCAAACCAAAUCCAGUCUUACAAUAGAAAUGAAUAACUUGAAUAAAUCCGAAAAUAAUCAGAAAACAAUAUCUUAAAAGAAAAUACAAAAAAAAGUUCUUAAAGCGAUAAAAAUCUUCCUCCAUCUCUAAAAGCACACCACACUAGAGCAACUCGUCUAGUUCCUCCCAGACAGCAUCACAAUCACAUUCAUCACACUCACCUGAAAUAUGGAUUUAUAAGAGAGGGUUGAGUAAUUUGGGGAAAUUACUCAGUGAGAACCAAACCAGACU